RNAcentral lists this ribosomal RNA (1327 nucleotides) under Lactiplantibacillus plantarum. RNAcentral describes it as "bacterial SSU rRNA". It matches the Rfam family "Bacterial small subunit ribosomal RNA", at positions 122 to 1436 of the family's 1533-position model. The record is from RNAcentral. Lineage: Bacteria; Bacillati; Bacillota; Bacilli; Lactobacillales; Lactobacillaceae.
AAACCUGCCCAGAAGCGGGGGAUAACACCUGGAAACAGAUGCUAAUACCGCAUAACAACUUGGACCGCAUGGUCCGAGCUUGAAAGAUGGCUUCGGCUAUCACUUUUGGAUGGUCCCGCGGCGUAUUAGCUAGAUGGUGGGGUAACGGCUCACCAUGGCAAUGAUACGUAGCCGACCUGAGAGGGUAAUCGGCCACAUUGGGACUGAGACACGGCCCAAACUCCUACGGGAGGCAGCAGUAGGGAAUCUUCCACAAUGGACGAAAGUCUGAUGGAGCAACGCCGCGUGAGUGAAGAAGGGUUUCGGCUCGUAAAACUCUGUUGUUAAAGAAGAACAUAUCUGAGAGUAACUGUUCAGGUAUUGACGGUAUUUAACCAGAAAGCCACGGCUAACUACGUGCCAGCAGCCGCGGUAAUACGUAGGUGGCAAGCGUUGUCCGGAUUUAUUGGGCGUAAAGCGAGCGCAGGCGGUUUUUUAAGUCUGAUGUGAAAGCCUUCGGCUCAACCGAAGAAGUGCAUCGGAAACUGGGAAACUUGAGUGCAGAAGAGGACAGUGGAACUCCAUGUGUAGCGGUGAAAUGCGUAGAUAUAUGGAAGAACACCAGUGGCGAAGGCGGCUGUCUGGUCUGUAACUGACGCUGAGGCUCGAAAGUAUGGGUAGCAAACAGGAUUAGAUACCCUGGUAGUCCAUACCGUAAACGAUGAAUGCUAAGUGUUGGAGGGUUUCCGCCCUUCAGUGCUGCAGCUAACGCAUUAAGCAUUCCGCCUGGGGAGUACGGCCGCAAGGCUGAAACUCAAAGGAAUUGACGGGGGCCCGCACAAGCGGUGGAGCAUGUGGUUUAAUUCGAAGCUACGCGAAGAACCUUACCAGGUCUUGACAUACUAUGCAAAUCUAAGAGAUUAGACGUUCCCUUCGGGGACAUGGAUACAGGUGGUGCAUGGUUGUCGUCAGCUCGUGUCGUGAGAUGUUGGGUUAAGUCCCGCAACGAGCGCAACCCUUAUUAUCAGUUGCCAGCAUUAAGUUGGGCACUCUGGUGAGACUGCCGGUGACAAACCGGAGGAAGGUGGGGAUGACGUCAAAUCAUCAUGCCCCUUAUGACCUGGGCUACACACGUGCUACAAUGGAUGGUACAACGAGUUGCGAACUCGCGAGAGUAAGCUAAUCUCUUAAAGCCAUUCUCAGUUCGGAUUGUAGGCUGCAACUCGCCUACAUGAAGUCGGAAUCGCUAGUAAUCGCGGAUCAGCAUGCCGCGGUGAAUACGUUCCCGGGCCUUGUACACACCGCCCGUCACACCAUGAGAGUUUGUAACACCCAAAGUCGGUGGGGU